Molecule: ribosomal RNA, 253 nt
Filed under: uncultured bacterium
Lineage: Bacteria
Description: partial 16S ribosomal RNA
Rfam family: Bacterial small subunit ribosomal RNA
Source: RNAcentral
UACGUAGGGUGCGAGCGUUAAUCGGAAUUACUGGGCGUAAAGCGUGCGCAGGCGGUUUUGUAAGCCAGAUGUGAAAUCCCCGGGCUCAACCUGGGAAUGGCAUUUGGGACUGCAAGGCUUGAGUGUGGCAGAGGAGACUGGAAUUCCUGGUGUAGCAGUGAAAUGCGUAGAUAUCAGGAGGAAUACCGAUGGCGAAGGCAGGUCUCUGGGCUGACACUGACGCUCAUUCACGAAAGCGUGGGGAGCAAACAGG